This 467-nucleotide ribosomal RNA is filed under the name uncultured bacterium. RNAcentral's name for it is "partial 16S ribosomal RNA". It matches the Rfam family "Bacterial small subunit ribosomal RNA", at positions 28 to 507 of the family's 1533-position model. The record is from RNAcentral.
GACGAACGCUGGCGGCGUGCUUAACACAUGCAAGUCGAACGGAAAGGCCCUGCUUUUGUGGGGUGCUCGAGUGGCGAACGGGUGAGUAACACGUGAGUAACCUGCCCUUGACUUUGGGAUAACUUCAGGAAACUGGGGCUAAUACCGGAUAGGAGCUCCUGCUGCAUGGUGGGGGUUGGAAAGUUUCGGCGGUUGGGGAUGGACUCGCGGCUUAUCAGCUUGUUGGUGGGGUAGUGGCUUACCAAGGCUUUGACGGGUAGCCGGCCUGAGAGGGUGACCGGCCACAUUGGGACUGAGAUACGGCCCAGACGCAUACGGGGGCAGCAGUGGGGAAUAUUGCACAAUGGGCGGAAGCCUGAUGCAGCAACGCCGCGUGCGGGAUGACGGCCUUCGGGUUGUAAACCGCUUUCGCCUGUGACGAAGCGUGAGUGACGGUAAUGGGUAAAGAAGCACCGGCUAACUACGUG